RNAcentral lists this ribosomal RNA (34 nucleotides) under Cichlidogyrus sp. SiMaC9. Its description in RNAcentral is "partial 5.8S ribosomal RNA". Lineage: Eukaryota; Metazoa; Platyhelminthes; Monogenea; Dactylogyridea; Ancyrocephalidae. The record is from RNAcentral.
CAACUGCAAUUGGUGGAUCACUCGGCUCGUGUGU